UACAGAGGUCUCAAGCGUUGUUCGGAUUCAUUGGGCGUAAAGGGUGCGUAGGUGGCGUGGUAAGUCGGGUGUGAAAUUUCGGAGCUUAACUCCGAAACUGCAUUCGAUACUGCUGUGCUUGAGGGUUGGAGAGGUAGCUGGAAUUCUCGGUGUAGCAGUGAAAUGCGUGGAUAUCGAGAGGAACACUCGUGGCGAAGGCGAGCUACUGGACAACAUCUGACGCUGAGGCUCGAAGGCCAGGGGAGCAAAAGGG
This 253-nucleotide ribosomal RNA is filed under the name uncultured bacterium. RNAcentral describes it as "partial 16S ribosomal RNA". It matches the Rfam family "Bacterial small subunit ribosomal RNA", at positions 524 to 776 of the family's 1533-position model. The record is from RNAcentral.